UUUCCGUAGGUGAACCUGCGGAAGGAUCAUUACAAAUCAGAAUGCUGGGAGACGGGGAGGUUAGUGGGGUGUAAGGCCCUACUAACGACCCGGAACCGGCUUAUUGUUCGAGGCAGCAAUGCUUCGUGACAUAUUAACGCUUGUAAGUUUGUCAAAGUAAAGUGAUUAUUAUAAAGAGACAACUUUUAACAAUGGAUCUCUUGGCUCUU
Molecule: unclassified non-coding RNA, 209 nt
Filed under: soil metagenome
Description: partial contains small subunit ribosomal RNA, internal transcribed spacer 1, and 5.8S ribosomal RNA
Source: RNAcentral